UGGUAAGAUACUUUAUAGAUUAUUAAAGAAGUUGACUCUCAUUGACUAUUUAUUUUACAGUGGAUAUAAAUUGUACAGUAAGCUACCCUCUCUUUUUAAUUUAAUAAAUUCAUACAGAAAAUGCUGGCAAAGGUGGAAUAUGGAGGAGUCACAAAGUAUAUCAAAGUUCCACAACCAGAUGAAAACUUUGAUUUCAGACAGUUUCUUCAAGAAGUAACCGAAAAAUUUAGUCUGCAGGAUCAACUUGUGACUGUCCUCAGCUUGACUGACACAUCAGAUACUGAGGUUGACGCAGACAUAUUUGAUGAGCUUAUCAAAUCAGGGGUGCGAAACUUCAAGGUUGGAUACCGCAAGCACCCAGUAACAGAUAUUGCUGUUCUUUUGGUUGAACCCGAGUCAGAAUCAUCUGUACAGCCAGACCCAUCGGCAUCUCAAGCAUCAAUUCCUGUCCCCCCAGUAUCACCAGCUUCACUGCAAGACUUUUCAACAGCAUCACCAUGUUCUUCCUGUUCAUCAGAGUCUACUACUCAUAGAGUCUUACCAGUUUGAUGUAAUG
Long non-coding RNA from Dicentrarchus labrax (European seabass), 556 nucleotides. RefSeq lists it as uncharacterized. The transcript is spliced from 3 exons. Lineage: Eukaryota; Metazoa; Chordata; Actinopteri; Moronidae. The record is from RefSeq and is a predicted model, not a curated record.